AUUGAACGCUAGCGGGAUGCCUUACACAUGCAAGUCGAACGGCGUGGCGAACGGGUGAGGAAUGUAUCGGACCGUGCCACUGAGUGGGGGAGAAGUACGCGUAAGCGAAGCUAAAACUACAACCUAUUGCAGUGGCCGAUAUCGGAUUAGCUAGUUGGUGGGGUAACGGCACACCCAGGCGACGAUCCGUAGCGGGUUUGGGAGGACGACCAGCCACACUGGAACUGAGACACGGCCCAGACGCCUACGGGAGGCAGCAGUGGGGAAUUUUGGACAAUGGGGGAAACCCUGAUCCAGCCAUCCCGCGUGUGCGAUGAAGGCCUUCGGGUUGUAAAGCACUUUUGGCAGGGAAGCGGUACCUGCAGAAUAAGCACCGGCUAACUACGUGCCAGCAGCCGCGGUAAUUC
RNAcentral lists this ribosomal RNA (407 nucleotides) under uncultured bacterium. Its description in RNAcentral is "partial 16S ribosomal RNA". It matches the Rfam family "Bacterial small subunit ribosomal RNA", at positions 30 to 526 of the family's 1533-position model. The record is from RNAcentral.